GGGUAAGUAGGUAGGGAGACAGGUGAGUAGACAGGUAGGUGGGUAUACAGGUAAGUAGAUAAGGAGACAGGUGAGUAGACAGGUAGGUGGGUAGAUGGGUAAGUAGAUAGGGAGACAGGUGAGUAGACAGGUAGGUGGGUAGAUGGGUAAGUAGAUAGGGAGACAGGUGAGUAGACAGGUAGGCGGGUUGAUGGGUAAGUACGUAGGGAGACAGGUGAGUAGACUGGUUGGUAGACAGUCAGACAAACAUGUAGAGAGGUAGGUAAGUAGACAGGCAAAACAGACAGGUAGGCAGCUAGACAGGUAGGUAGAUAGGGGGGAAGAAACAGACAUACAGGGAGGUAGGUUGGUAAACAGGUAAGUAGUUAUGUAUGUAGAAGUAUGUAGAAGUAAGUAGGUAGGGAGACAUAUGGGGAGACAAGUGGAUAGACAGCUAAGUUAGGAAGAUGUGUAUGUAAACAGGUAAAUAGUUGGUUAAACAGGUACAGUAAGUACACAGACAAGUGGGGAGACUGGUGGCUAGAAAGGUAGACGGGUGUGCGGACAUGUAGGAAGGUAGACGGGUAGGUAGACAGGUUGGUGGAUAGACAGACAGACAGGAAAGUAAGUACACAGGCACACACACAGAUUGACUGAUGGUGCUGAUUUCUAAAAUAAAUGAUCACUGAAAUAAAACACACUAUAGAUACAGGGUUCUUAGGAUGAUAACGGGAGCAUUUCUGAAAGGGCGACGUUCUAACGCUUCCCUCACAGACACACCGUAAAGAACCCGUUCAGGGUGCCGAACUUAACCGUUCUAGAUAAUAGCUUUAACCUGAAUGAAUGUUGAUCUAAAGCUGAUCAAAAAUACCCAGCCUCUUACAGUAAAGCACAAACACACUGGAAACAUGCACCUCAUCAUCUCAUCAUGGAAACCAGGACAAAUACAAGAUGCUUAUUUCUUUUUGCUGUAA
Molecule: long non-coding RNA, 953 nt
Organism: Ictalurus punctatus (channel catfish)
Lineage: Eukaryota; Metazoa; Chordata; Actinopteri; Siluriformes; Ictaluridae
Source: Ensembl